AACAAAUGCCGUUGAUGCGUCUGUAUCGAUUCGCUCGAUCGAGUCAUUUAUGUUUCGUACCGAAGAAGAUCCGAAUCGUCUGUGAAUCUCAUCACUGUUAGAAAUCCAAGAGAAGAGAUCCUCUUCCCUUAACAUCAUCAGAGGAAAAAUCUGCUUCUUAAUCAAUUAGUUUCAGCGUUUGUACCUCUCUCUCUGGAUCCAUGUCAUCCUACAGUCUCUUCUCGAGCAAGGCGUGGCGAGACACUUUACACAAGAUUUACGACUCUAUGGUCUGUGUGUUCUGGUAUCUGCUGAGUCACCAGAAAUCUGCCAAGACACUGACACUUGCGCCUGCUCCAACAUCUGGUGCAUAAGGGCUUUAAGGUUUCCAGAACCAAGCUGCAAUAUUGUAUGGACACUUAAGUAUUUGAACUUUUGAAGUUUUGAACUUUCUCAAGGCUGUCAUUCUAGACACAAAACGCCCUGCUGGGUCAGAAAAUGGAUCCCUGACUGCUCUUUAUAUGACAAGCUUCUCCGUUCCGCAGUCUCUCAUCACGAGCCACUGCAACAUCCUUUGACCUGGACUGACGCUAUGGUGCCACCGUGGUCGCUUGUCACUCCCUCAAAAGCACCCUUUGUUCCACCCCUGGGCUACCUGCUCACUUCAAGCCCUUCCACCUCUAUGCCUGUGAACACCAGGGCACAGCCUCUGGGGAGCAUGAGGGGGGGAGAUGCAUCAUUGUGCGUUUUUAUCCAAAACAUUAGACAUUGUUGCUCAAGGCUUACUUGCGUGUCUGGGGGCUGUCUCCGCAUGUGCUUUGAAGGUUUGAUGGUUGCAAAAUUGACAGACCCAUUAAAUUAAUUAAUCAGUAAUUUAAUAGAUAAUUAAAUUAACAUAUGACUAUUUAUUCUCUGUUCUACUAACAAUCUCGAAAUUCGUGUCACAUCCUCUUUUGAUAAUGUAGGUCGCGCUCUCGCACGCCUCCUUAAUUCUCGGGAUGAUACUUGGGAUGACAUUGAUAUUGUCUGUCUAAAAAAUCAUACAUACUACUAGUAUCAGGUCUGAUCUCUUCCCUCCAGCCCUCUAGGGAUCUUUAUUGGUGGUUUUUGUUCUAAACCCUCAGACGGUUCUUGUUUUAUAAUUUCUACCUCUGUGGUUAUUCUGUGUGUUCAAUCAAUAUCAGCCUGAUAUUCUGCAUGAGACAUACGCUCUUUCUUUCUCAUUUGAUUUUUGUCAUCUUGAUUGUGGACAAAUUCUCUAAAUGGGUAGAAGUUUUUCCCUGUUCUCGAGAGAACACGAAGGUAGUUACUCGUUUUGAUACCUAGUUAUAAUAAUAAUAAUGAUACAUUUUAUUUAUAAGUGCCUUUCAAGGUACCCAAGGACACUGGACAGUAAAAAAGAAAAACAAACAAUAAAAGCAGAACAAUAAAAUAACAACAAUAAAAUAAUAAGAAAUCAAUAAUAAUUAUUGUUAUAGUUAUGGGGUUCCAGAUGCCAUAAACUCAGACAAAGGUACCCCUUUUCACCUCAAAAGUCACACACUUUGUAAGUAUCUCUAAACUAAACUGGUGUUUUCACAUUCCUAAAUCCUCUGGUAUCAUAGAACGUACUAAUCGAACAUUGAAAGACAAAUUAAUUAAGGUCAUGCAGGACACAGGUUUGGUUCUGUAAUCCAUAAUUCAUUCUGGCUGAAAUUCGUGUGAGACCAAGAAAUUAUUCUCCCCUGGAAGAAGGGAACUCCGGCUCCGGGUACCUCUGAUUUGAAAAUGCAUAUGGAUGAGUAUUCUGCAGCCCUUGUAGAUAAGUUGCAUAAAAUUUGUACCAAGGUCAAUAAUACAACAUUAUCUCCACCACACACCCCUUUCACGUGGGAGACAGGUGCUGGUGUGACUUUUUAAAGUAAUGAUUUGGACAAUUGGGAAAACAAUAUAAUGGGCCUGCAGACAUAGUCGCCAUUACUUUUGCUGCUGUUUUAACUGAUCUUUUUCCACAGUGGAUCCAUGCCACUCGAUUGAAGAAGGCUCCAUAACAAAGUUGUGUUACAAUAACAAGUUUGCUGCUAUUAAUGCUUUUUGUGUCCCUAUCUAGUCUCCCUCUGGCCAGUUUUCUCUCUCUCUCUCUCUCUCUCUCUCUCUCUAUUUCUGAGCUCUACACAGAUUCGACUGAGAAUCCUCAAGACGUUGUGAACAAAGAGGAGAAGAGAUCUUGCGCCCCAUUUGGAACCAAUCAUCCUCACUACAACCAUGACAGUCCUCAUCACGGGUUUCGUGACUUCAUUGUUGCUCGGGGCAGGGCUACCCGCCCGAGCCUUCGUGACUGCUUCAUCUUUGCUCGGGGCAGGGUUACCCGCCCAAGCCUUCUGGACCACUUCAUUGCUCGGAGCAGGGUUACCCGCUCGAGCUGGACUUCGAGACAACAUCUUCUGGACUAACUUCGCUAACUGGACUGCACAAGCACACACCACACGAAUGUGUUAUGUCUUUCAUCUGAUGCCGUUUUCUACUAUUAUUACACAUCUCCAUGCUCUGAAACUCUGUAUUCUUACAGGACUCUGUUCUCACUAUAGGUCGAUAUGCCUUCUAAUUUCAUUUUUCCCUCACUGUUUUAGAACAAAUUACUCUGAAGGAAGUAGCGUGUAUCUGGGAAUUAAGAGGUUUUGAGUUUCUCUAAGCUCCGGUGAGGUGGGACAAGGGCUGAUUGGGCAUGCCCGCCCUCUGAGCACCAAUAUACGUCAAGAAGGGCAAAGAUUAACUCAAGAUUAAUUCUCGAUGUAAUCACAUAUAUGAUCAUGAGGUGAUAAUGAUCAAAUAUGAUCCUAGGAUUUGAUAAUAGUAAUACUAUUAUCAAAGGGGGGGAUUGUUAGGUUUAUAUAAGUAUUAUUCUUGACCAAGAAGGCAGUAAUUUAUUAAAAUGGUGACAAAAUUAAGGAUUAACUUAAGGUUCAGUUAAAAAUGACCUUCUGUCUCGGCUGGACAUUGUUUGGGAACAUUUUGUUUAUUUUUUGAUAUGAAUGUGUAUUCAUUCAGAGAGGUGUCUGAAAGAUUCACCAAGGUCCGUUUUGGUGUCAGAUCGACCCACACACACUCUGAAAUGGUAGAAUUAAGGUUCAUGUUUAUGUUAAUUCAUGUUUAGUUGAAACUUAGGUUUAUAGCUUCUUAAAAGCUUGAAAUAUACUAUGGUAGUGAUUUGGAUCCCGUAAUUAAUGAAUGCAUUCCGUGAUUAAUGUUAGUUUUAUAGUUUUAGAUUAGUUUCAUAAUGACAUUAUAAUUAUAGUUAAGAUCUUAUGAUUCUAAGGGUUUUUAGUUUAAAAGCAUUAACCUAAUUUAGUUAUGAGUUUAAU
This is a long non-coding RNA of Neoarius graeffei (lesser salmon catfish), 3320 nucleotides long. RefSeq lists it as uncharacterized. Lineage: Eukaryota; Metazoa; Chordata; Actinopteri; Siluriformes; Ariidae. The record is from RefSeq and is a predicted model, not a curated record. The transcript has 3 exons.